Long non-coding RNA from Oncorhynchus tshawytscha (Chinook salmon), 934 nucleotides. The record is from Ensembl. NCBI's taxonomy places the organism in Eukaryota, Metazoa, Chordata, Actinopteri, Salmoniformes, Salmonidae.
AGACCAAGUUCUUUUUAUUUAGACAGGGAGUCAAUGCUGAGACCAAGGUAUCUUUAUUUAGACAGGGAGUCAACGCUGAGACCAAGGUCUAUUUAUUUAGACGGGAGUCAAUGCUGAGACCAAGGUCUAUUUAGACAGGGAGUCAAAGCUGAGACAGAGGUCUCUUUAUUUAGACAGGGAGUCAAUGCUGAGACCAAGGUGUCUUUAUUUAGACAGGGAGUCAAUGCUGAGACCAAGGUGUCUUUAUUUAGACAGGGAGUCAAUGCUGAGACCAAGGUGUCUUUAUUUAGACCGGGAGUCAAUGCUGAGACCAAGGUCUAUUUAGACAGGGAGUCAAUGCUGAGACCAAGGUCUCUUUAUUUAGACAGGGAGUCAAUGCUGAGACCAAGGUGCCUUUAUUUAGACAGGGAGUCAAUGCUGAGACCAAGGUGUCUUUAUUCAGACAGGGAGUCAAUGCUGACAUGUAGAAGUGGUUGUAGAGCGUGCAGACAGGGUUUUAGACCAUGUAAAUGUGGUUGUAGCACGAGUAGAUGUGGUGGUAGUAUGUGUAAAUGUGGUUGUAGAGCGUGCAGACAGGGUUUUAGACCAUGUAAAUGUGGUUGUAGCACGAGUAGAUGUGGUGGUAGUAUGUGUAAAUGUGGUUGUAGGACGUGCAGGAUGAGUAGAUGUGGUUUUAGGAUGUGUAGAUGGGGUUGUAGGAUGUGUAGAUGGGGUUGGAGGACGUGUAGAUGUGUAGAUGGGGUUGGAUGACGUGUAGAUGGGGUUGGAGGACGUGUAGAUGGGUUUGGAGGACGUGUAGAUGGGGUUGGAUGACGUGUAGAUGGGGUUGGAUGACGUGUAGAUGGGGUUGUAGGACGUGUAGAUGGGGUUGUAGGACGUGUAGAUGGGGUUGUAGGACGUGUAGAUGGGGUUGUAGGACGUGUAGAUGGGGUUG